UACAGAGGGGGCGAGCGUUGUUCGGAAUUACUGGGCGUAAAGGGCGCGUAGGCGGCCUGCUAAGUCAUACGUGAAAUCCCUCGGCUCAACCGGGGAACUGCGUGUGAUACUGGCGGGCUUGAAUCCGGGAGAGGAAUGCGGAAUUCCAGGUGUAGCGGUGAAAUGCGUAGAUAUCUGGAGGAAUACCGGUGGCGAAGGCGGCAUCCUGGACCGGCAUUGACGCUGAGGAGCGAAAGCCAGGGGAGCAAACGGG
RNAcentral lists this ribosomal RNA (253 nucleotides) under uncultured bacterium. RNAcentral describes it as "partial 16S ribosomal RNA". It matches the Rfam family "Bacterial small subunit ribosomal RNA", at positions 524 to 776 of the family's 1533-position model. The record is from RNAcentral.